CCAAUUCCAUCUGAGGGGACAUGAUUUAGACACUUCUUUUCCCAAAGGUAAGAUUUAGCUCUUACAUGCUGGAUGGGUUGUCCCUGUAAUUUCCUCAAAUACGAGAAAAUUCACUGCAGUGUCUGUGGUAGUAUGGAACUGCAUUUGUGCUUCACCCUG
Molecule: small nuclear RNA, 159 nt
Filed under: Serinus canaria (Common canary)
Lineage: Eukaryota; Metazoa; Chordata; Aves; Passeriformes; Fringillidae
Description: U1 spliceosomal RNA (ENSSCAG00000000030.1)
Source: RNAcentral